Molecule: ribosomal RNA, 1392 nt
Filed under: Bombyx lemeepauli
Lineage: Eukaryota; Metazoa; Arthropoda; Insecta; Lepidoptera; Bombycidae
Description: 16S ribosomal RNA
Source: RNAcentral
GGGGGAUAAGAAAAAAUUAAUAAAUUAAUUAUUAUUAAAAAAAUUUUUAAGAUUGAAUUAUUUUAAUGGGGGGUUAAAGUAAUUUUUAUUGAAAAAAUUUAUAAUUUUAUAGUUUAUUUGUAUUGUGAAGGAAUUUUGAAAUAAUAUGAAAUUUAUUUAUAUUAAAAGUAAAUUUUAUUUAUUGUAUCUUGUGUAUCAGAGUUUAUUAAAAAUAUUUUUAUUAUUAAGGUUUCUCGAAUUUAAAAGAGUUAAUUAAUUAAUAAUAAGUUAUUGUAGUAUAAAUAUUUUAAAUAAUUAAUUUGAAAUGAAAUGUUAUUCGUUUUUAAAUAUAUCUAGUUUUUAUAGAAAAAAAUUUAAUUUUUUAUUAAUUAAAAUUUUUAUUUAUUAAGUUAAUAUAAAUUUUAUUUUUAUUGAAAUAAUUUAAGGGAUAAUCUUUAAGUUAAAUUUUUAUAAUAUUUUUUUUUAUAAUAAAAAUUAUAUAAUUUAUAUUGUUAAUAAAUUUUAUUUUAUUAUAAAUAAUUUUAUUAAAAAAAAAAUUUAAUUUUAUUUAAUUUUUUAUAUAAAAAUAAAUUUUAAUUUGAUAAAUUAAGUUAUAAUGAUAAAAUUAGUAAAAUUAUUUAUUUAAUGAUAAGAACAUUUGAUUUAAAAUUAAUUAUAAAAAAGGAAUUCGGCAAAUGUAUAUAUUCACUUGUUUAUCAAAAACAUGUCUUUUUGUUAAUAAUUUAAAGUCUAAUCUGCCCACUGAUAUAAUAUUAAAGGGCUGCAGUAUUUUGACUGUACAAAGGUAGCAUAAUCAUUAGUCUUUUAAUUGAUGACUUGUAUGAAGGAUUGGAUGAGAUAUAAGCUGUCUCUUUUGUAAGUAAGUUGAAUUUAAUUUUUUAAUUAAAAAGUUAAAAUUUUUUAAAAAGACGAGAAGACCCUAUAGAGUUUUAUAGUUUAUUUUAUAAAAAUUUUUUUAUUAUAUUUUUAUGUUUAUAAAUUAUUUUGUUGGGGUGAUAGAAAAAUUUAAUUAACUUUUUUUUUUAUUUACAUAAAUAAGUGAUUAAAUGAUCCAAUUUUAUUGAUUAUAAGAAAAAAUUACCUUAGGGAUAACAGCGUAAUUUUUUUUUUUAGUUCGAAUAAAAAAAAAAGUUUGCGACCUCGAUGUUGGAUUAAGAUAAAAUUUAAAUGUAGAAGUUUAAAAUUUUGAUCUGUUCGAUCAUUAAAAUCUUACAUGAUCUGAGUUCAAACCGGUGUGAGCCAGGUUGGUUUCUAUCUUUUAAUUAUUAUAAUAUUUUAGUACGAAAGGAUUAAAUAUUACAAUUAUAUUGAUUAUAUUGAAUUUUAUUAAAUUUUAAUUAAAUUUUUAAUAUUUGUAGUUAAUUUAAACUAUUUUGGCAGAGUAAAUGUGUU